AUUGAACGCUGGCGGAAUGCUUUACACAUGCAAGUCGAGCGGCAGCGCGGCCUUCGGGCUGGCGGCGAGCGGCGAACGGGUGAGUAAUGCAUCGGAACAUGCCCAGUCGUGGGGGAUAACACUUCGAAAGAAGUGCUAAUACCGCAUACGUCCUGAGGGGGAAAGCGGGGGAUCGCAAGACCUCGCGCGAUUGGAGUGGCCGAUGUCAGAUUAGCUAGUUGGUGGGGUAAAGGCCUACCAAGGCGACGAUCUGUAGCUGGUCUGAGAGGAUGAUCAGCCACACUGGGACUGAGACACGGCCCAGACUCCUACGGGGGGCAGCAGUGGGGAAUUUUGGACAAUGGGGGCAACCCUGAUCCAGCCAUUCCGCGUGAGUGAAGAAGGCCUUCGGGUUGUAAAGCUCUUUCGGCAGGAACGAAACGGUGGGCUCUAACAUAGUCCGCUAAUGACGGUACCUGAAGAAGAAGCACCGGCUAACUACGUG
RNAcentral lists this ribosomal RNA (484 nucleotides) under uncultured bacterium. RNAcentral describes it as "partial 16S ribosomal RNA". It matches the Rfam family "Bacterial small subunit ribosomal RNA", at positions 29 to 507 of the family's 1533-position model. The record is from RNAcentral.